Molecule: ribosomal RNA, 1341 nt
Filed under: uncultured bacterium
Lineage: Bacteria
Description: partial 16S ribosomal RNA
Rfam family: Bacterial small subunit ribosomal RNA
Source: RNAcentral
GACGAAUGCUGGCGGCGUGCUUAACACAUGCAAGUCGAACGGUAAGGCUCCAGCUUGCUGGGGUACACGAGUGGCGAACGGGUGAGUAACACGUGGGUGACCUGCCCUGCACUUCGGGAUAAGCCUGGGAAACUGGGUCUAAUACCGGAUAGGACUGCACCGUGAGGGUGUGGUGGAAAGUUUUUUCGGUGUGGGAUGGGCCCGCGGCCUAUCAGCUUGUUGGUGGGGUAAUGGCCUACCAAGGCGGCGACGGGUAGCCGGCCUGAGAGGGUGGACGGCCACAUCGGGACUGAGACACGGCCCAGACUCCUACGGGAGGCAGCAGUGGGGAAUAUUGCACAAUGGGCGGAAGCCUGAUGCAGCGACGCCGCGUGGGGGAUGACGGCCUUCGGGUUGUAAACUCCUUUCACCAUCGACGAAGGGUUUCUGACGGUAGAUGGAGAAGAAGCACCGGCUAACUACGUGCCAGCAGCCGCGGUAAUACGUAGGGUGCGAGCGUUGUCCGGAAUUACUGGGCGUAAAGAGCUCGUAGGUGGUUUGUCGCGUCGUCUGUGAAAUUCCGGGGCUUAACUCCGGGCGUGCAGGCGAUACGGGCAUAACUUGAGUACUGUAGGGGAGACUGGAAUUCCUGGUGUAGCGGUGAAAUGCGCAGAUAUCAGGAGGAACACCGGUGGCGAAGGCGGGUCUCUGGGCAGUAACUGACGCUGAGGAGCGAAAGCAUGGGGAGCGAACAGGAUUAGAUACCCUGGUAGUCCAUGCCGUAAACGGUGGGCGCUAGGUGUGGGUUUCCUUCCACGGGAUCCGUGCCGUAGCUAACGCAUUAAGCGCCCCGCCUGGGGAGUACGGCCGCAAGGCUAAAACUCAAAGGAAUUGACGGGGGCCCGCACAAGCGGCGGAGCAUGUGGAUUAAUUCGAUGCAACGCGAAGAACCUUACCUGGGCUUGACAUAUACAGGAUCGCGCCAGAGAUGGUGUUUCCCUUGUGGCUUGUAUACAGGUGGUGCAUGGUUGUCGUCAGCUCGUGUCGUGAGAUGUUGGGUUAAGUCCCGCAACGAGCGCAACCCUUGUCUUAUGUUGCCAGCACGUUGUGGUGGGGACUCGUAAGAAACUGCCGGGGUUAACUCGGAGGAAGGUGGGGAUGACGUCAAAUCAUCAUGCCCCUUAUGUCCAGGGCUUCACACAUGCUACAAUGGUCGGUACAGUGGGUUGCCAGUCCGUGAGGGCGAGCUAAUCCCGCAAAGCCGGUCUCAGUUCGGAUCGGGGUCUGCAACUCGACCCCGUGAAGUCGGAGUCGCUAGUAAUCGCAGAUCAGCAACGCUGCGGUGAAUACGUUCCCGGGCCU